Leopardus geoffroyi (Geoffroy's cat) is the source of this 1392-nucleotide long non-coding RNA. RefSeq lists it as uncharacterized. The transcript has 3 exons. NCBI's taxonomy places the organism in Eukaryota, Metazoa, Chordata, Mammalia, Carnivora, Felidae. The record is from RefSeq and is a predicted model, not a curated record.
ACAAGCCCAGGCAGCUAUUCAAAUGCAAGUUGCAACCCCAAAUGCGAGGGUGGCCUGACCAAAAGGAGCCACCCGGCUCCUGGGAGAAGCGAGACCCGUGCUGCGGUUCUCAUCCUUCUCUGUUCUUCCUUUUCUCUUUCUCUUCUCCGGUUCCUGAUUUAGCUGGGAGCUGUUUAUUUAUGGCUGCAAAUGUGUGUGUGCGAGGGAGAGGGAGAAUUGAUCUUUGCCUGGAUUUAAAGAUGGAGCCGAAGGCGCUGGAGGGAAUUUGGGUUUGUGCGUCUGGCUCAAACCCUGCGCGCCAAAGGGGGCCGUUUGGCACGGAGCCCGAGGUCUUUCUUUCUCGCACCCCUCACCUCGCGACCCUGCAGGAAUCCGCGGGCCCAGGAGCGGCCUGACUGACCCACCUGCCCCGGGCUGAGCUGUCGAGAAAGGCUUCAUGGAGGGGGCCAACCCGUCCCGGUCUUUAAAAUGAGCACAAUAAAAGGGGGGCAAAUCCUCCAACGCGAACCUGAUCGCUUGUCACAGAAGCAACUUGCCAUGAAAUCCGCUAAUGCGCCGCGACUCGCCCACCGGGAUAAAUACCCGCCGGCGUUGGUGUAACCAGCGCACGCCCAAUACACUCGUAUUCCUCGAAUGCGCUCAUCGCCGGCCACACUUGGAGAAUCCAGUGCAGAGGUUUCCGAAACCCCAUUUUCCUGAUUGCAGCCCAGACUCUGGAAACCCACGAACCUUCGGGGGAAGGGAGCCUGUUCCGGGCCAAGCGGAGGGUCAGGCGCGAGCGCGGGCCAAGCAGAGGGUCAGGAGCGAGCGCGCACAUGCACACACACACGCGCGCGCACACACACAUACGCACACGGAUGUAUACACGCACUAGGACUGCGAUGGAAGAUGCAGGGUGGCUGGACGAGGAUCUGGGAGGCUACGACUGAGGGAAGGCUCUGGCGCUGCCAGACCUGUGCAACCUCUAAAGCAGUGUCAUCCUUAGAGUUAUUUAGGAGAACAAGACCUGGGACAUGGGUUUGAGUUAAAGAAAUUAGGGGCAAGGUACAGAUGGCCCAGCACAUCUUUAGAAUGAAGCAGAACUGAGAACUGAGGAAGCUAGACCCGCACUGCUGUAAACUGAAGGUUAGGAAAUAUAAUACCCUCACACACAGCAGCAGCACAUGUCUCUGAUGGCUGGCGAGCUCAUCCCUGAGCAAGGGGUCUCUGGCCUCGCCACUGAGCUUCACAAAUGCCCUUUCAGCCUCCUCCAGGUUUUGCCAGGCAAAUGAAAUGAGCAGAACACCAUAGUAAAUUAUUUUGUUCAGCCCUCUGUCUUUUUAUGAGAAUAAAAGGCAACACUUUGUCAUUUUUAAUCGUAUAAGCAGACAAUAAACCUAAUUUCGAUAUUGA